AUUAUCCGAUCUAUGCAGUUGGUAUUUCUGAAAAGUUGGUGGGGAAGGAUGGAGCUUCCGCGUCUCAAAAAUCGACUAUAUGCGUUGCAGGGGGCAGUGAAGGAGGUUUUAUUGGUGUUCCAAUUUCCCUUUAUGAUUUUUAAUAUUAGUUUCUAUUUUAAUAUUCAAAAA
RNAcentral lists this non-coding RNA (171 nucleotides) under uncultured Chaetoceros. Lineage: Eukaryota; Bacillariophyta; Thalassiosirophyceae; Chaetocerotales; Chaetocerotaceae. The record is from RNAcentral.